UGUGAGCUCGAUGAGUAGGGCGGGACACGUGGUAUCCUGUCUGAAUAUGGGGGGACCAUCCUCCAAGGCUAAAUACUCCUGACUGACCGAUAGUGAACCAGUACCGUGAGGGAAAGGCGAAAAGAACCCCGGCGAGGGGAGUGAAAAAGAACCUGAAACCGUGUACGUACAAGCAGUGGGAGCACGCUUAGGCGUGUGACUGCGUACCUUUUGUAUAAUGGGUCAGCGACUUAUAUUCUGUAGCAAGGUUAACCGAAUAGGGGAGCCGAAGGGAAACCGAGUCUUAACUGGGCGUUAAGUUGCAGGGUAUAGACCCGAAACCCGGUGAUCUAGCCAUGGGCAGGUUGAAGGUUGGGUAACACUAACUGGAGGACCGAACCGACUAAUGUUGAAAAAUUAGCGGAUGACUUGUGGCUGGGGGUGAAAGGCCAAUCAAACCGGGAGAUAGCUGGUUCUCCCCGAAAGCUAUUUAGGUAGCGCCUCGUGAAUUCAUCUCCGGGGGUAGAGCACUGUUUCGGCAAGGGGGUCAUCCCGACUUACCAACCCGAUGCAAACUGCGAAUACCGGAGAAUGUUAUCACGGGAGACACACGGCGGGUGCUAACGUCCGUCGUGAAGAGGGAAACAACCCAGACCGCCAGCUAAGGUCCCAAAGUCAUGGUUAAGUGGGAAACGAUGUGGGAAGGCCCAGACAGCCAGGAUGUUGGCUUAGAAGCAGCCAUCAUUUAAAGAAAGCGUAAUAGCUCACUGGUCGAGUCGGCCUGCGCGGAAGAUGUAACGGGGCUAAACCAUGCACCGAAGCUGCGGCAGCGACGCUUAUGCGUUGUUGGGUAGGGGAGCGUUCUGUAAGCCUGUGAAGGUGUGCUGUGAGGCAUGCUGGAGGUAUCAGAAGUGCGAAUGCUGACAUAAGUAACGAUAAAGCGGGUGAAAAGCCCGCUCGCCGGAAGACCAAGGGUUCCUGUCCAACGUUAAUCGGGGCAGGGUGAGUCGACCCCUAAGGCGAGGCCGAAAGGCGUAGUCGAUGGGAAACAGGUUAAUAUUCCUGUACUUGGUGUUACUGCGAAGGGGGGACGGAGAAGGCUAUGUUGGCCGGGCGACGGUUGUCCCGGUUUAAGCGUGUAGGCUGGUUUUCCAGGCAAAUCCGGAAAAUCAAGGCUGAG
Molecule: ribosomal RNA, 1159 nt
Filed under: Escherichia coli
Lineage: Bacteria; Pseudomonadati; Pseudomonadota; Gammaproteobacteria; Enterobacterales; Enterobacteriaceae
Description: partial 23S ribosomal RNA
Rfam family: Bacterial large subunit ribosomal RNA
Source: RNAcentral